UAUAUAUAUAUAUUGCCUUUACUGGUGCAUAGUACACUAGUACACUGCGGUAUGACUAUAUCAUCAUUCAGUUAUUUGUUUCUGUUUUGUUGAUAAUGAGCAGUGGAAUAGUUGGAUCACAGGGACAAAGAACAUUCACAUUCAGCAAUUAAGGCCAAACAGACUGACAAAGUUGUCCUGAUUUACAUUUCCACUGGAGUUUCCAUUGUGUCCUGAACUUGCUAACAUUCGGUACCAUCGGUUUGCUUCAUUUAGCCAUUAUGGUACACGUGUGGUCAUUUGUUAUGUCUUAAUUAGCAUUUUUCUAAUUUCUGCAGUCAAGCAACAUUUUAUAUAUUUGAUAAACAUUUGUGUAUCUUCUUUUGUGUUCAAGACAUUUGUCCUUAAUUUCACCGGAUUAUCUUUAUUAUCUUUAAUGACCCUUCACAUAGUCUAGAUAUAAUCCCUAUCCUAUGUUUCAACCCUUUCUUGUUAAUAUUUGGAUGAGUUUAUCAGGAUAUGCUGGUGGAGAAAAAAAACUCUACAUAUCAAUAGAUGUAUACAAAAAUACUUAGAUGUGCUGCAGGCCAUUGGGUUUGGGGACAGCUAUUUUUUCCACAUAGUUACUCCAGGGCCCCAAAUGACAAGUGCUACACCAUGUAGAGUGCUGCUGCUUUCUAUGGCCAGUAAAUCACAGAAAACUGACAAAUUUAAAUGAGAAAUUUGAACUUUUUUUUGUGUGAACAAAUUCUUCACAAAUUGUUGAUAGACCUUUAUUUCAUCUUUAUGUGGUGCUGAGGAUCGAACCCAGUGCCUCACACACACUAGGCAAGCGUUCUACCACUGAGCCACAACCCCAGCCCUAUGGACAUGUCUUUUUAAUAUCAGAAUCUUGCACUUGAAUCAGUAAGAUGCAGUUCCUGGUGGAGGAUUUUAAGUGAUGAUAUUUUCAAGUUCUUGAUAUGAUCAUUAAUAAAACUUGAUGCAUAAUAAAUUUGCAGGAAGAAAACAAAAUGACCACAGAUGAACUUGUAUUUGAAGAUUCCAAGAACAUUUUUUUCCUUUUCUUGACAAAUCAAUGUUGAAAUUGCUCAUGAAAAUGGGAAUAGAUUUUGAAUCCAAUUCAGUUCUGUCAACUGUUUCAAAUUACGAUGAGGUCUGAUUUGUAGCCACAUCUUGAAACUAGCAUAAACACUAUAAAGGGGGAAUAUCUGCCCCAGACAGAUACCUGUAUGCUCUUUGUGAGAACAGAAAUUCAGGGAUCUAGGUUGCUUCCCUCACCAACAGUCCCUGCCCUCCUUGCUGGAUAAUCUCUCUAACUGCAUGAGUUAACCUUUGGGUACCUGAAAUAUAUGCUCCUGCAACAACAGCCCUCUUUACUUGAUGAACAGCAAUACACUCUAACUGGCUGCUCAAGUCAUCAAGUGACUGACUGCUGAACAGUGUGUGGCAGUGAGGUAAUGGGGGCCAGAUGGCAUUCAUCCAGCUUGCCACCUUCAGAGAACUGAGAAAGAACAGCUAUGCUUGGAAAAGUUCUGCAGGGAGGUUUGUGCUAAGGCAGAAGCAACAAGUGGUAAGAUGUAUCUGGCCAAGCUCCCUAGUGCUGGACUCUGACUCUUUCCACAAUGUGCUGGGCACAAAUUAACUGGACUCUUUAGGCAAUUAUAAGGACAUUCUUUCUAUUUAACACAUGAUGAAGCGAAGGCACAGAAAGAUCAGAUGCCAUAUGCAGAGUGACACAGAGGGCUAAGUGAGGAGUCAGGCACCUGGUUCUAUAGUUGUUGCUCCAGCCCAUCACCUUCAACAAAUGUCCCAUGAUUUGCUCAAAGUGAAACCCAUCACACAAUUCCAAAGAAUGGCCAAGUUGUGUGUGAGUAUCAACUAUCUUCAGUGUGGGAAUAAUUUUAUAUGAUUUAGCUGCAUAAAUUUAAUAAAAUAAGAAGUAAAGUUAUUAUUCUUUAGAAUUCAGGUGCAUAGAAGUGACAUAAUCAGCCACAGUAUAUUUCACACUAUAGUACUUACUUCUUACUUCUUAUAUUCAUAUUUAAUUCAUUCAUUUUGCCUUUAUUUUCCUCACUUUCAUCCCUUUGAACAUCCCUAAUAGCACCUCAUAUUCACCCCAAAUCAUCAAGUCACCAUACACUUUGUGAAUCCCAUUUACAUGAUAGCUUUUGGUGACUUAUCUUUUUAUGUUUUCAAAUUUUUCAUUCGAAAUAUUUCUGUGAGUUCUCACACUGUCCCUCAUAAGUAUAGUAAUUUCCUUUACACUGCUACAUGGUACCCCAUCAUUUCCAAUACCACAUUUUAUCUACCCAGGUAUUGUGGACAGACCUUACAAUUGUUGCCCACUCUGGUUGUCUAACCAUGCUGGACAGUCUCUUUGUGUAGAACAAUUUUCCUCAAGAAUAUAUCUCAAGGAAUAGCGUCAAGUCACAUUCUGUGUACAGAUACUAAUUCACCCUGCAGAAAAGUUGGACCUAACUAUAUUUAAGAAACAGAGAGAGAUCCAAUUUCCCACACUUAUAUCUGACCUUAAUCUUAGCAGUAAAAAGUAGCAUUUCAUUGCUUUUGCUUUUAUUAGUUUGAGAAUUUUCCUCACUAAUGAGAUUGAAUAAUCUUUAUCAUUUUUUAGCUAUUAUGUUCCUUCCUACAGAUUUUUAAAUUACAUCCUUUCUUGGCUAACUAGUAGCACUCCUGCCUCAUUAUUUCUAAAUUGAAAGAAUUUCUUAUAUAUUCAAGAUUUUAAUCCUUUUUAUUCAUAUUGUAUACUAGAAUCAUCUCCUACUCUAUGACCCGUCUUGUUAUUUUUGCCCAUGGGAAUGAUUGGUAUAAUAGAAAUUGUUACUUGUGUGUUAUUCAAAAUCUUCAAAUUUUCUCUUCAUAUACUGUAUUUUAUGCAUUUUUUAUGUUUUUACAUUUUCUUGAGGUUUAACAUGCACAAAAGACAUAGAUUCCAAUGAAUGUUUACAUAUGUGCAAAUCCUUGUGACAAUCACGCAAAGCAACACAUAGAACAUUUUUAGCAUCUGAGAAGGUUCUUAUAUGCAUUUUACAAAAAAAAAAAAAACCCACACUCCUGUCCUCCCCCUCUGUCCUAUGCUGUCAUUCACAUGUUUGUUCUUCAGCUUCAUAUAAAGGGGAUCAUACGUUAGGCAAUCCUUCGUGUCUGGAUUCAUGCACUCAUUGCUACCACAGUGAGAUUCCUAUACAUUGUGGGCAACAGAAGUUCUAUUUGUCCAUGUGCAGUUUUACACUGAAUAAAUUGUUUUGGUUAGCUUUUUCACUUUGUGACCAAAGACCUGAUGAAAACAAUUUUAGAGAAAGAAAAGUUUAUUAGGGGUUCAUGACUUCAAAGGUCUCAGUCCAAAGACAGAGGACUCUUGCUUUCUGCCCAAAAUGAGGCAGAACAUAACAUCAUGGCAGAAAGGUGUGGAGGAGGAACAGCUCAGGACAUGACUACCAAGAAGCAGAGAGAGAUUGCUACCCUUAUCACAGACAAAAUAUAAACCCCAAAGGCUUGCCCUCAGUGCCCCAUCUCCUCUGGCCUCACCCUGUCUACAGUUACCACCCACUAAUCCCUAUCAGAGAACUAAUGCACUGAUUAGGUUAAGGUUCUCAAAACCAAUCAUUUCACCUCUAAACUUUCUUGCAUUGUCUCAUACAUGAGCUUUUUGGGGACAGCUCAUAUCUAAACCAUAACAUAAAUAGACCACAAUUUAUCCAUUAAUUAAAAGUUAAUGGUUCCAAUUUGGUGCUAUUAUAAACUGUUAUAUAUUAUAUAUAACAGACUUUUCAAACACAUUUUGUAUAUAAAUCUUUAAGUGGAUACAUGCACUCAUUUCUCUUUAAUAAAGUUUUCUAUAAUGCUAUGGAUAUAUAAAAUUUCUAGGUCAAGGGAUGUGUAUGUAUUUGGUACUAAUAGGUAUUACAAAACCAGUUUUCAAGUGGUUGUCCCAGUUAGCACUCCAAAGAGCAAUAUCCAAGAGCUCUAAUUGUUCCUUGCCAUGAUUUUGUGUUGUUGGUCUUCUUGAUUAUAGCCAUUCUCAUGAGUGUUUAACAGAAUCAUAUUGUGCUUAUUCUUUGUGUCUAAAUAUUUAACUUCAAUUCUCUGGUUUUUAACUAAUUGGUAUGAGGAACAUUAAGUUGAGAGUGCUACUGUAAUAAUUAGUACACAUGGACAAUCAGUAUGCCCCAGGCAAUUUCCUGUUCCAAGAGAAGAUUAUUACCAUUUUUUGUUUUUGUUUGUGUUUUAGUACUGGACAUCAAACUUAGGGCCUUGCAUAUAAUGGGCAAGCACUCUGCCACUGAGCUAUACCCUAGCCCUUUUUUAUUUUAUUUUGAGUGAGGGUCUUAAUAAGCUGCCAUGACUGACCUGGAACAUGUGAUACCCUGCCUCAGUCUCCAGAGUAGCUGGGAUUACAGGUGUUCAACACCAGAUCCAGCAAGAUAUUAUUAUUUAAGAAUAUUUUCUAAUGUGUAUAUUAACUUUAAUCAACUUUAUUUUCAACAUCUGGUUAUGCAUAAAAUUCUUUAUUUUAAUGUUUUCAUUGUCUAAUGUGUUACCAGAUUUCUUAGUGUAAACCCCUUGCUAAAUAACUAGAAUUCAAUGCAGUGUAUUAUGCUGUUAAUGUAUUACCACACUGUCUACUUGGAAUGUUUCUGUUGCUAUUGAUAGGCAAGCUUGAUUUGUUGACAUUUGUAUACGCUAUAUUUGGGGAGCUUUAAUAUCAAGGUUACAUUUUGUUUAUAAAAGACAUUAAAUUUUUUCUGCCUCUCUUCUCUAGAAUUGGUCAAAUAGUAUUGACUAGGUCUGGUUCAAAGCACGGUGAGAACUUUCUUUGCCACUCUCCAGCCUGAUCCUGUUUUUAGGAAGUAACUCUGAGAGCAAGCCCUGCUUAUUCUGCAGCAUCUAGCUUACUUAUGUUUUCUUUAAGGCAAUGUAAUAAACUGAAACCAGAGACUCUGGUACCAGAGGCCUGGGGUUAAAAAUAUUGUUACAUGAUGAUUAGCUAUUGUCCUCAGGAAGACCACCUGUCCUAAUGUACCUCUAUUUCUUCAAUUGAAAAAUGAGAAUCAUAAAAUAAUUAUAAUAAUAGUAAUAAUGAUGAUGAUGAUAAUACUUAUAGGUUUGUUGGAAAUUUUUUAAAGUAUUAAGGUAUGUAAAGCCCUCAGAACAGUGUCAUCUGACACAGAUUAAACAGCCUUUAGUGAUAUUAUUUCGUCUCUUCUGGGGGCAAUUUGGGCAAUUUAUCUUCUUGUAGAAAAUGUAUUUCAUCAAAUUAAACUGCACAAUAUGGGUAGAGUCAUCUCUUCUGUGUCUUCAAAUUCCCUUCACAUUUUUUUGUUACUUCCUCAUUAUCACUUUUUAUAUUUUAUUGGCAUCCUGCUCUGUUCACUUUGAUUGGUUUUCCUAACAGUUUUAUGGUCUACUUUUCCUCCCAAUGAACUAACAUGAGAUGUAUUCAUUAUUUGCAGUGAUUUUCAGCUUCUACUUCAUUGUCUGCCCUGAUUUUUAUUUGUUUUUUCUUUUUCUUUAUUUUAUUUCUCAGUUUGGGGGAAUAUACUUGCUUAAUGUUGUUAUUUACUACUUGAUUUAUCUGUUUCGAACAUCUUUUGAUCAACAAUAACAAAAGAUAAGAAAAUCAACGUAUUUUUAUUAUUCUCCACAAAGUAGUUUCUUCAAAAAAAGUUCCUGAAACCACGUUCUCAGAGUUUCUACCUGUUUGAACUCUUGUUUUCCUUUCUCUCUCUUUUUUUUUUUUUUUAUUUGGAUGAGAGCCU
RNAcentral lists this long non-coding RNA (5759 nucleotides) under Marmota monax (woodchuck). Lineage: Eukaryota; Metazoa; Chordata; Mammalia; Rodentia; Sciuridae. The record is from RNAcentral.